AGAGUUUGAUUCUGGCUCAGAAUGAACGCUGGCGGCGUGCUUAACACAUGCAAGUCGAACGAGAAAGGUGGUGCUUGCAUCGCCGAGUAUAGUGGCGCACGGGUGAGUAACAUGUGGAUAAUCUACCUUUGAAUUUGGAAUAACUAUUCGAAAGGGUAGCUAAUACCGGAUAAGGUCUUUUGAUCUUUGGGUUGAGAGAUGAAAGGGAGCGUGGCAACACGCCUCUGUUUGAAGAUGAGUCCGCAUACCAUUAGCUAGUUGGUGGGGUAAAGGCCUACCAAGGCGAUGAUGGUUAGCUGGUCUGAGAGGAUGAUCAGCCACACUGGAACUGACACACGGUCCAGACUCCUACGGGAGGCAGCAGUGAGGAAUUUUGCGCAAUGGGCGAAAGCCUGACGCAGCAACGCCGCGUGAGUGAAGAAGGCCUUUGGGUCGUAAAGCUCUGUCAUCAGGGAAGAAGUUAAUGUAUUUGAAUAGAGUAUGUUAUUGACGGUACCUGAGAAGGAAGCACCGGCUAACUCCGUGCCAGCAGCCGCGGUAAU
Molecule: ribosomal RNA, 542 nt
Filed under: uncultured delta proteobacterium
Lineage: Bacteria; Deltaproteobacteria
Description: bacterial SSU rRNA
Rfam family: Bacterial small subunit ribosomal RNA
Source: RNAcentral